Carassius gibelio (silver crucian carp) is the source of this 760-nucleotide long non-coding RNA. RefSeq lists it as uncharacterized. The transcript has 6 exons. NCBI's taxonomy places the organism in Eukaryota, Metazoa, Chordata, Actinopteri, Cypriniformes, Cyprinidae. The record is from RefSeq and is a predicted model, not a curated record.
CUGGAACAUGACGAAACUCCAGGAAAUGUGCGAAUAAAACGAAGCGUUGCACUGUGCCUGAAGCACACGGGCAAGGCAUUGGGCAAAAGAUUUCAAGGUGGCUUUACACUUUUUCCAAGCAUUCCUCAGAGUCAGCACCUGUCAGGAGCACAUUGAUGCAAUCCACUCUCACCUGACUUCAGUUCUGGACAACACCCACAGUGACCAGAUCAAAUUCACCAUGGAUGUAUACUUUUCCCCCAGAGUGUGUACAUCUACAGCAAGUCAACCAGCAGUGUUUAAAAACAAGAGAACGUGAAGCAGAAGUGACACUGUUUAAAUAGAUCAGGCUCUCCAGGACAAGGCGGAAAGAAAAACAUGUCUCUUUUGUCAAAGCCAGACAAAGCCCCACAGACCUUAAAGUGGGCAAUUCAAAAUUCUGAAGACUGGACUUCUGCUUUCCAGCCUGUCUUCUCUGAUCUCCAGUCAUCCGAGAGGCUUCAGCCAGCCUGCGAGCUGUCAAAGUAGCCCUGGAAUCAAACGCCACUUCAUGCUCAGCUAUGAUCAAAGAGACACAGAGAAGAAACAUGGAGCACACUGAUCAGAAUAAAGCAAAGUGAUCAGGUUUUGAAGAUGUGGGGGGAAGUUUGUUCUCGCCAGAAACUUUUGGACACAGGGAAUUCUUGGAUAGAGGUUCAAGAUGUUUGUCAAAACAUCAGUGUAGAGACUUCCCAUUUGCACCCGGUUCCAUGGACGAAAAAAAAAAAAAAAAAAGAGGAAA